UACAGAGGGGGCAAGCGUUGUUCGGAAUUACUGGGCGUAAAGGGCGCGUAGGCGGCCUGCUAAGUCGAACGUGAAAUCCCUGGGCUCAACCCAGGAACUGCGUCCGAUACUGGUCGUCUCGAGGGGGAUAGGGGCGUGCGGAACUUCCGGUGGAGCGGUGAAAUGCGUAGAUAUCGGAAGGAACACCGGUGGCGAAAGCGGCGCGCUGGAUCCCUUCUGACGCUGAGGCGCGAAAGCCAGGGGAGCGAACGGG
Molecule: ribosomal RNA, 253 nt
Filed under: uncultured bacterium
Lineage: Bacteria
Description: partial 16S ribosomal RNA
Rfam family: Bacterial small subunit ribosomal RNA
Source: RNAcentral